GACAACUUGAAGUGGGGAGAAGUCUUCCAGGUCACAGGUGGGAAGAUUGUAUUUCCCUUCUCCUUGAGGUUAGACACAGUUACAUGGCUAGUUGAGCCAACAGAAGAGGAGCCGAAGUGAAAUAUGACACUUCCAAGUGAAAGACUAUAACUGCUGAUGCUUUUCUCUCAUCCCUGCCAAGAGCACAAUCACAGAGGUUCAUAUCCAUAUGAAGGCAGUAUCAGAGUGGAGGAGCUUGGAAUGCUGAGCAAACACACGGAGGAACGCUGCUGUGGUGCAUUACAUGGACUCCAGCAGGCUUCGCAUGAGUGACAAAUACACUUCAGUCAAGCCACUGAGAUUAGGCAGUUUGUCCUGCAGCACAGUCUAGCCUAUUUGGAUGUAUCUGAGUUUAGUCAUGGUAGCAUUAUGCAUCCUUGUAGCUGGGAGGGUCAAGUAACAGUUCUAGCAAACAAAAUAUAAAUUGAGGUGACUGGGCAAGUGAGCCUUCUAGGAAAAGCCUUUUAAAGAAACAAAUUCAGCUGGCAUGAGCAGUUUCUAUUUUUGUCCUUCAUUUUCUUGCCUGGAAUGUAGACAUGAUGGCUGGAACUGUAGGAGUUAUCUUGACAGCAUGAGGACUAGGGUCCCAUCCAAUGGUGCAGUGUGGACAGAGGAAAGGAGAUGGGACCCUGCUGACAUCAUGGAGCUGCCAUACUUUGGACUUCCCACAUCUGGGAUUCAUUUACGGGAGAGGAAAACAAACUUUUGUGUUGUUUAACCCACUGUUUUUCAAGUUUCUAUUCCUAACAGCCCAGUGCAAUUUUUAACUGUUAUGGAAGGUACAGAAGUAAUUUUAAUUCUUCCAGUAUUUAUACUAUUAGUUUUUCAUAUUUUUAUUGUGGAAACUUUCAAACAUAUCCAAAAAUACAGACAGUAGUCAUCAUCCAGCUUCAGCAAUGAUCAACUCAUAGCCAAUCAUGC
This 960-nucleotide long non-coding RNA is filed under the name Homo sapiens (human). RNAcentral describes it as "HSALNT0054586". Lineage: Eukaryota; Metazoa; Chordata; Mammalia; Primates; Hominidae. The record is from RNAcentral.